This 429-nucleotide ribosomal RNA is filed under the name Bacteroidota bacterium. RNAcentral's name for it is "Bacteroidetes bacterium partial 16S ribosomal RNA". It matches the Rfam family "Bacterial small subunit ribosomal RNA", at positions 355 to 776 of the family's 1533-position model. The record is from RNAcentral. Lineage: Bacteria; Pseudomonadati; Bacteroidota.
UAGGGAAUCUUCCGCAAUGGACGCAAGUCUGACGGAGCAACGCCGCGUGAGUGAAGAAGGAUUUCGGUUCGUAAAACUCUGUUGUUAGAGAAGAACAGCGCAUAGAGUAACUGUUAUGCGUGUGACGGUAUCUAACCAGAAAGCCACGGCUAACUACGUGCCAGCAGCCGCGGUAAUACGUAGGUGGCAAGCGUUGUCCGGGUUUAUUGGGCGUAAAGCGAGCGCAGGCGGUCAAUUAAGUCUGAUGUGAAAGCCCCCGGCUCAACCGGGGAGGGUCAUUGGAAACUGGUUGACUUGAGUGCAGAAGAGGAGAGUGGAAUUCCAUGUGUAGCGGUGAAAUGCGUAGAUAUAUGGAGGAACACCAGUGGCGAAGGCGACUCUCUGGUCUGUAACUGACGCUGAGGCUCGAAAGCGUGGGUAGCAAACAGG